RNAcentral lists this ribosomal RNA (422 nucleotides) under uncultured bacterium. RNAcentral's name for it is "bacterial SSU rRNA". It matches the Rfam family "Bacterial small subunit ribosomal RNA", at positions 358 to 772 of the family's 1533-position model. The record is from RNAcentral.
GGAAUUUUGGACAAUGGGGGCAACCCUGAUCCAGCCAUGCCGCGUGAGUGAAGAAGGCCUUCGGGUUGUAAAGCUCUUUCGCAAGGGAAGAAACGAUGCAGACGAAUAAUCUGCGUUAAUGACGGUACCUUGAUAAGAAGCACCGGCUAACUACGUGCCAGCAGCCGCGGUAAUACGUAGGGUGCGAGCGUUAAUCGGAAUUACUGGGCGUAAAGCGAGCGCAGGCGGUUCUGCAAGUCAGAUGUGAAAUCCCCGGGCUCAACCUGGGAACUGCGUUUGAAACUACAGAGCUAGAGUAUGGGAGAGGGAGGUAGAAUUCCACGUGUAGCAGUGAAAUGCGUAGAGAUGUGGAGGAAUACCAAUGGCGAAGGCAGCCUCCUGGCCUAAUACUGACGCUCAUGCUCGAAAGCGUGGGGAGCAAA